UUAUAAAUAAGGUUAUAAGUUUUAGGCAUUCAAUCUAUAUGCUUGAUUAAGAAAAUAGAAAAUUUUCUCAAUUCCUAGAAAGAAUUUCUAGUUUGAAUUUGUUCGGUCUUGUUCAUCAUUCGAUACGUUGUCCUGCAUCAAACACACACGUAGAGAGAGAGAAUAUGUCCAUUGAGGCUGAUUUUGAUAUUUCUGUCGGCUACGCUCACUGCGUUUUUCGUAUUGAAGAAUAUCAAAUAUCACUCCGAAAUUCCUCAAGAUUCUUUUACAAAUUCAGUUGAAUCUUCCGCACCGGUCAAUCCAUCCUCUAAGGUUUCGAAGCAAUUUGUUCUCACCACUGACUAUUCUCUCUAUUAUGAAAUUGCAAGUUUGGGGGGCAAUUAGGACUGGUUUUUGCACUUUUAUCGACAUGGCAAGCGGUCUCUAUCUCUGGAGGAAUUUCGUUUCAUCUUCAUCUUCGUCUUCAUCUUCCGAGCCCACCUACUGAUAUGUUGUAGAGUUUCAUAUUCUUUCUUGUUUUGGGGCCCUUUCUUAUUUCUAUGUAGUGUGUUGCUUUUGUGCUGCUUGCACUUGAAUUUCAUAUAUAAAUUGGAAAUUUGUUUUCUCACAAUUUGUAUGCCACUGUUGGCUGUAAUUAUCUUUGCCUCUAGAAAUCUGUUUUUCUCUUUUAUCUAUC
This is a long non-coding RNA of Camellia sinensis, 676 nucleotides long. RefSeq lists it as uncharacterized. Lineage: Eukaryota; Viridiplantae; Streptophyta; Magnoliopsida; Ericales; Theaceae. The record is from RefSeq and is a predicted model, not a curated record.